GCCGGGAUAGCUCAGCUGGGAGAGCAACAGACUGAAGUUGGACGAUUCGUUCCUGCCUUCUGGAGGUCCCGUGUUCAAUCCACGGUCCUGGCA
Molecule: non-coding RNA, 93 nt
Organism: Gloeopeniophorella convolvens
Lineage: Eukaryota; Fungi; Basidiomycota; Agaricomycetes; Russulales
Source: the annotation of a GenBank genome assembly